GACGAACGCUGGCGGCGUGCUUAACACAUGCAAGUCGAGCGGUAAGGCCCUUUCGGGGGUACACGAGCGGCGAACGGGUGAGUAACACGUGGGUGACCUGCCCUCAGCUCUGGGAUAAGCCCGGGAAACUGGGUCUAAUACCGGAUAUGACUCCAUGACGCAUGUUGUGGGGUGGAAAGCCUUGUGCGGCUGAGGAUGGGCCCGCGGCCUAUCAGCUUGUUGGUGGGGUGAUGGCCACCAAGGCGACGACGGGUAGCCGGCCUGAGAGGGCGAUCGGCCACACUGGGACUGAGAUACGGCCCAGACUCCUGCGGGAGGCAGCAGUGGGGAAUCUUGCGCAAUGGGCGAAAGCCUGACGCAGCGACGCCGCGUGAGGGAUGACGGCCU
Molecule: ribosomal RNA, 387 nt
Filed under: uncultured bacterium
Lineage: Bacteria
Description: bacterial SSU rRNA
Rfam family: Bacterial small subunit ribosomal RNA
Source: RNAcentral